UUACCGUGUAGUUCAAUGGUAGAACGACAGAUUCUGGUUCUGUAUGUUGUGAGUUCGAGUCUUACCACGGUAGCCAU
This 77-nucleotide transfer RNA is filed under the name Clostridium butyricum 5521. RNAcentral describes it as "tRNA-Gln". It matches the Rfam family "tRNA". Rfam says of the family: Transfer RNA (tRNA) molecules are approximately 80 nucleotides in length. Their secondary structure includes four short double-helical elements and three loops (D, anti-codon, and T loops). Further hydrogen bonds mediate the characteristic L-shaped molecular structure. tRNAs have two regions of fundamental functional importance: the anti-codon, which is responsible for specific mRNA codon recognition, and the 3' end, to which the tRNAs corresponding amino acid is attached (by aminoacyl-tRNA synthetases). tRNAs cope with the degeneracy of the genetic code in two manners: having more than one tRNA (with a specific anti-codon) for a particular amino acid; and 'wobble' base-pairing, i.e. permitting non-standard base-pairing at the 3rd anti-codon position. The record is from RNAcentral. Lineage: Bacteria; Bacillati; Bacillota; Clostridia; Eubacteriales; Clostridiaceae. RNAcentral also lists the same sequence under 1 other name.